AGCGGGAAGUAGUUUACUACUUUGCCGGCGAGCGGCGGACGGGUGAGUAAUGUCUGGGAAACUGCCUGAUGGAGGGGGAUAACUACUGGAAACGGUAGCUAAUACCGCAUAACGUCUUCGGACCAAAGUGGGGGACCUUCGGGCCUCACGCCAUCGGAUGUGCCCAGAUGGGAUUAGCUAGUAGGUGGGGUAAUGGCUCACCUAGGCGACGAUCCCUAGCUGGUCUGAGAGGAUGACCAGCCACACUGGAACUGAGACACGGUCCAGACUCCUACGGGAGGCAGCAGUGGGGAAUAUUGCACAAUGGGCGCAAGCCUGAUGCAGCCAUGCCGCGUGUGUGAAGAAGGCCUUCGGGUUGUAAAGCACUUUCAGCGAGGAGGAAGGCCAAUAACUUAAUACGUUGUUGGAUUGACGUUACUCGCAGAAGAAGCACCGGCUAACUCCGUGCCAGCAGCCGCGGUAAUACGGAGGGUGCAAGCGUUAAUCGGAAUUACUGGGCGUAAAGCGCACGCAGGCGGUUUGUUAAGUCAGAUGUGAAAUCCCCGCGCUUAACGUGGGAACUGCAUUUGAAACUGGCAAGCUAGAGUCUUGUAGAGGGGGGUAGAAUUCCAGGUGUAGCGGUGAAAUGCGUAGAGAUCUGGAGGAAUACCGGUGGCGAAGGCGGCCCCCUGGACAAAGACUGACGCUCAGGUGCGAAAGCGUGNGGAGCAAACA
Molecule: ribosomal RNA, 714 nt
Filed under: uncultured bacterium
Lineage: Bacteria
Description: bacterial SSU rRNA
Rfam family: Bacterial small subunit ribosomal RNA
Source: RNAcentral